This 202-nucleotide long non-coding RNA is filed under the name Mytilus galloprovincialis (Mediterranean mussel). Lineage: Eukaryota; Metazoa; Mollusca; Bivalvia; Mytilida; Mytilidae. The record is from RNAcentral.
GCCCUCCAACAUUUUUCACCCUGUACUUCAUAUUCCUAGUGCAUGUCCUAUGUCACACCUUGUUUGGAUUAUCAAGUUUAAAUAUAUGAUAAAGUGAAAAAAUAACACAUGGUAGAAUUUUCAUUUAUGCAGUAAGAAGCCAUCCACGAUCCAUAUCAGCUCUCGGGCAGACUACCAUCUUGCUGAUAUUCUUCGUUUUGGU